Molecule: long non-coding RNA, 562 nt
Organism: Harpia harpyja (harpy eagle)
Lineage: Eukaryota; Metazoa; Chordata; Aves; Accipitriformes; Accipitridae
Exons: 2
Source: RefSeq, a predicted model, not a curated record
UAUCUGUGAAUGCCCUCUGCCUCUGUUCAGCUGUUAAUGGCAUAUUGUCUUGGCCUGAGAAAAUGAGGGACUGAAUGGGUACUGUAGCUUUCAGCUGUUUCCAUCCCUUUGGAGGAGGGGGGAAGUUGUCACUGAAAUCCCAAAGAGGUUGAUGUCUUUGCAGAGACAGCUCUGGUCUCCCUCGAACUGCCAGAGGUCAGAGGAGGGCCUGUGUGGCUGUUAGCUGAAGUCUUCAUCUAGAGACGACUACUGUCUGAUCUGGAGGCAGCAGACAAGGCCCAAAACCACCGGACAAAAGCAGUUCCUGAGGGACACGCCCUCCCAGAACCGAGACGGUGAGUGGAGAACUUCAGGCACUGAAACAGUCAGAAUAGAAGAAGAAAAGAUGCUGAUACAAUUUAACUUCAGUCAUAACUCAGACAACCAAAACGUAACAGAAAAACAAAGCCAAGGAGAAAUGCCAGCAGCUACUGCUAAAAUUCAAACGUAGCUGCCAGUGUAAAAAAGAUGUAGUAAGUCCAAAUGUUUAGAAGAAUAAAGGAUGAAACGAAGCAAAACGAUA